UCUGGCACCUUCGGUGUCCGAGUUGUAAUUUGAAGAAGGUAACUUUGGAGUUGGCUCUUGUCUAUGUUCCUUGGAACAGGACGUCACAGAGGGUGAGAAUCCCGUGCGAUGAGAUGUCCAACUCUAUGUAAAGUGCUUUCGAAGAGUCGAGUUGUUUGGGAAUGCAGCUCUAAGUGGGUGGUAAAUUCCAUCUAAAGCUAAAUAUUGGCGAGAGACCGAUAGCGAACAAGUACAGUGAUGGAAAGAUGAAAAGAACUUUGAAAAGAGAGUGAAAAAGUACGUGAAAUUGUUGAAAGGGAAGGGUUUGAGAUCAGACUUGGUAUUUUGUAUGUCUUGCUUUCGGGUGGGGCCUCUGCAGUUUACUGGGCCAGCAUCGGUUUGGACGGUAGGAUAAUGACAUUGGAAUGUGGCACUACUUCGGUGGUGUGUUAUAGACUUUGUUGAUACUGCCUGUCUAGACCGAGGACUGCGUCUUUGACUAGGAUGCUGGCAUAAUGAUCCUAAAC
RNAcentral lists this ribosomal RNA (506 nucleotides) under Scheffersomyces shehatae. RNAcentral describes it as "eukaryotic LSU rRNA". It matches the Rfam family "Eukaryotic large subunit ribosomal RNA", at positions 121 to 645 of the family's 3401-position model. The record is from RNAcentral. Lineage: Eukaryota; Fungi; Ascomycota; Pichiomycetes; Serinales; Debaryomycetaceae.